This is a long non-coding RNA of Boleophthalmus pectinirostris (great blue-spotted mudskipper), 1297 nucleotides long. RefSeq lists it as uncharacterized. The transcript is spliced from 3 exons. NCBI's taxonomy places the organism in Eukaryota, Metazoa, Chordata, Actinopteri, Gobiiformes, Gobiidae. The record is from RefSeq and is a predicted model, not a curated record.
UCCACACGCUCCAGACCAGGCCCAGCAGAAAACUGUGGGACAAUCGGCCUAUGCCUCACACUUUUUCGUCCUUGCCCUGUAUAAAACAAACGUGUAUAUGAUUGUAUUGUCCUUGGGGUCUUUUUCAACAACAGAUUGACGCAGCUAAAGGCGUAUUACGCAUGGCGAAGCUUUGGCAAGGCACGGGAGGACGCUGAAAGCCUCACCAUCUCAACUCAUUCAUGAUCUAACAUCGGCUGCCCAACACCUUCCCUGGUGGUCUAGUGGUUAGGAUUCGGCGCUCUCACCGCCGCGGCCCGGGUUCGAUUCCCGGUCAGGGAACUAGCUUUUGGACCAUAGAGGCACUAUCAAUGUGAGAGGAGAGAUAACUUGUCUUGGGGAUCGACAUGGCGCCGGUGUGUCCGUCCUCUGGCCUGUGCAGACUUUCACCAACACCUUCCAUACUCUAACCCGCUGGAGCAAAGGAUUAUGGGGCACGGUGAAGAUGAAAGCUGAAUUAGAGUUGGCAUGUGUUCUGUUAUGACAAAUCUCCAUGGGCCAAUUUUUUACACAGUACUUUAUAAUUUUACAGUACACUAGUAUUUUUAGACCAAACCUAAGCAUUUCUGGUCAUGCCCGAAGCCAUUUGUGUAGGAGUAGCCCCAAUUUAUAGUAUUUAAUAAAACUAAAAUGAUGAGUUAUUGUAAAAUUUGUCCUUCCCUUAAUUUCUUCAAGAUGGGGCUUCAAAUGCUGUAAAACACACUAAACGACCCUAAUCUCCCCCUUGUCAUAUGGAAUCUGUACACAGUUUAAUUAUUUCAGACUAUAAUCUUUAUGGUACUGUCCUGCUAGGAGCCACAAAGUAUAACAUAUUUUACUAUCACACAUAAACAUUAUUACUGCAACAACCAGGUAUAAUCAUCUAUGUUCAUCAGCGCUUUUGGUCUGGUGGUAAAAAUACAACAACAAUCUUAUAUUUUUAUGUAAAAUCACAGAGAUUUGACCCACAGCAGGCCUUGAGUAGAUUUCAAAUCAUUUUUGUCAGACGUCAAACACUGGUAGCUUAGACUACUUCUUCUGAUAACUUCAAGUACACAAUGAAAGCAAGAUGUCACUAUACCUAAACAAUGAAAAAGCAUAUGUCACACAAAUGUUAAGUGAUUAGAGAAGGUAUAAGAUUUGUUUGUAUUCUGUAUUGCACAAUUACUAACCAUUUGGUGGUCCUUGUUCUUUUUAAACAUGUUAUUAUCGCAUUUGAUAUCUUCCCUAAGGCCAAGGUUGUUUCAGUUUCUUUUCUUUUGUGAACCUCUGCCCUUUG